AAGUUUUGGUAGGGCAGGGCCAGCUCGAUUGGCAGAUCCCCUAGUGUUGACUAACAAGGUGGCUUUUGCUAAAUGUCUAUCCCAAUGUUUGAAUGUCCCAGCACCCAUUGCUCUCAGUGUAGUCUUUAACAGUCCAUUGUAUUGUUCAGUUUUCCCGGAGGCUGGUGCAUGUUCGGGGAUGCGAUAUAUACCUACUCAAUGCCAUGCUCUUUGGCCCAGAUGUCUAAGAGGUUGUUUCAGAAAUGAGUCCCAUUGUCUGACUCAUUUCUUUCUAGGGUGCCAUGUCGCCAUAAAACUUGCUUUUCAAGGCCCAGGAUAGUGUUCCGGGUGGUGGCAUGGGGCAA
Molecule: long non-coding RNA, 344 nt
Organism: Aquila chrysaetos chrysaetos
Lineage: Eukaryota; Metazoa; Chordata; Aves; Accipitriformes; Accipitridae
Exons: 3
Source: RefSeq, a predicted model, not a curated record